Paramuricea clavata is the source of this 288-nucleotide non-coding RNA. The record is from the annotation of a GenBank genome assembly. Lineage: Eukaryota; Metazoa; Cnidaria; Anthozoa; Malacalcyonacea; Plexauridae.
GACGUCGAAUAUCGAAGUCAUAAACACCAAAGUUGAUCGUGUUUAUGACGUCGAAUACAUAAACACCAAAGUUGUUCGUGUUUUUGACGUCGAAUAUCGACGUCAUAAACACCAAAGUUGAUGGUGUUUACGACGUCGAAUAUCGACGUCAUAAACACCAAAGUUGUUCGUGUUUAUGACGUCGAAUAUCGACGUCAUAAACACCAAAGUUGUUCGUGUUUAUGACGUCGAAUAUCGACGUCAUGAACACCAAAGUUGUUCGUGUUUAUGACGUCGAAUAUCGACGUC